CUGGCUCAGAAUGAACGUGGCGGCAUGGAUUAGGCAUGCAAGUCGUACGGUGAAGGGGAGCUUGCUCCUCCGAUCAGUGGCGAAAGGGAUAGUAACGCGUAGACACCUACCUUCUGGACGGGGAUAGCUGCGGGAAACUGCAGGUAAUACCCGAUAAUGACGAGAGUCCAAAGGUGUAAUUCCUUCAGAAGACGGAUCUGCGUCCUACCAGAUAGUUGGCGGGGUAACGGCCCACCAAGUCUAAGACGGGUAGCGGGUGUGAGAGCAUGACCCGCAUCACUGGGACUGAGACACUGCCCAGACACCUACGGGUGGCUGCAGUCGAGAAUCUUCGUCAAUGGGCGAAAGCCUGAACGAGCGAUGCCGCGUGCCGGGAUGGAGGCCUUCGGGUUGUAAACCGCUGUCGAAUUGGAGGAAAUGCAUAGUGUAGAAUUAUGCUUGACUGAUAGUAGAAGGAAGGACGGGCUAAGUUCGUGCCAGCAGCCGC
RNAcentral lists this ribosomal RNA (487 nucleotides) under uncultured bacterium. RNAcentral describes it as "bacterial SSU rRNA". It matches the Rfam family "Bacterial small subunit ribosomal RNA", at positions 19 to 518 of the family's 1533-position model. The record is from RNAcentral.